This 571-nucleotide ribosomal RNA is filed under the name uncultured bacterium. Its description in RNAcentral is "bacterial SSU rRNA". It matches the Rfam family "Bacterial small subunit ribosomal RNA", at positions 47 to 619 of the family's 1533-position model. The record is from RNAcentral.
CCUAACACAUGCAAGUCGAACGGGAAGCGGUGCAUAUUGCUUCGGUGAUAAUGUGCCGUGGAGAGUGGCGAACGGGUGCGUAACACGUAGGUAACCUGCCCUGAAAGGGGGGAUAACCACGGGAAACUGUGGCUAAUACCGUAUAAUCUCGCCGUGGCGGUGGUUACGGUGAGGAAAGCUGAGGCCAUUUGGGAGGGGCCUGCGGUCGAUUAUCUGGUUGGUGGGGUAAAGGCCCCCCAAGGCGAUGAUCGAUAGCUGUUCUGAGAGGAAGACCAGCCACACGGGAACUGAGACACGGUUCCGACUCCUACGGGGGGCAGCAGUGAGGAAUAUUGCCCAAUGGGGGGAACCCUGACGCAUCAACGCCGCGUGGAGGACGAAGGUUUUCGGAUUGUAAACUCCUUAACUGGGGGAAGAGAGAGGACGGUACCCCAGGACGAACACACGGCUAACUAGGUGCCACCAGCCGCGGUAAUACCUAGGUGUCGAGCGUUAUCCGGAAUUACUGGGCGUAAAGGGUGCGCAGGCGGUGUUACAAGUCCGGCGUGAAAGCUUCUGGCUUAACUGGCAG